UACCAGCUCUUCGAGUGGUGUGGAUGUUUAUUGGGCCUAAAGCAUCCGUAGCUGGCUGGGCAAGUCCCCUGUUAAAUCCACCGAUUUAAUCGUUGGAGUGCGGGGGAUACUGUUCGGCUAGGGGACGGGAGAGGCAGACGGUAUUUUCGGGGUAGGGGUGAAAUCCUAUAAUCCCGGGAAGACCACCAGUGGCGAAGGCUGUCUGCUAGAACGCGCCCGACGGUGAGGGAUGAAAGCUGGGGGAGCGAACCGGAUUAGAUACCCGGGUAGUCCCAGCUGUAAACGAUGCAGGCUAGGUGUUUGGGCGGCCACGUGCCGCUCUAGUGCCGCAGGGAAGCCGUUAAGCCUGCCGCCUGGGGAGUACGGCCGCAAGGCUGAAACUUAAAGGAAUUGGCGGGGAGCACCACAAGGGGUGAAGCUUGCGGUUUA
Molecule: ribosomal RNA, 429 nt
Filed under: uncultured archaeon
Lineage: Archaea
Description: bacterial SSU rRNA
Rfam family: Archaeal small subunit ribosomal RNA
Source: RNAcentral